AUUACUCCAUGGUCCAGUUCUGAGAUAUGUGGACGAAAUAUGUGAGCAUUAUGUGACGUAAAAUUAAGUGAGAGAGCUAUGAAUCAUGAUAAAUAAAAUAAUAUAUGUAAAAAUGAGAGAGCCACAAAAGUUGAAAUAGCUGAUAGAGAUGAAGUAAGAAGCGGGAUAUAGGAUGACGAAUGGGAUGAAUUGACUUGAAUGGGAUUAUAAAUUAAAGGAUAGCCAGGAGGCAUAUUGGAAGAAAUGAAGGGAGAGAUUACAUAUAAUUGCUGAAAUAAAGAGAAAUAUGUGAGACGAAAAGGGAGCAACAUCAGAUUAAAUUAAGGGAGUAAUUGAAAUUAUGGUUAUGGGAGUCAUGUGAUGAAUCCGGAGAGAAAUAAAGUGAAUGGGAAGUAGCGGGAACAUGAAAUGGAAUAAUAGUAGGUUUGGGAAGCGGAAAUGUAUCUCUGUUGAAGAGCAUUAAGAGUGCAUGCAGGUGUUAUGGGAGGGAGGCAGGGCUUGGAUUGGAUGCAGGUAGCGAGAGGAAACUGCAAGGUGCAAAAUGUGAAUAUAAAAGCAGUAGUCAGGAGGUGGAAGGUGGAAUUCAUGUCAAGAAGGAGGAGCAGCAAGAGAGCUAUAUUACAGAGCUCCCUUCUUCAUUUAUUUUAUGCUAAUGUUAUUUAUUACAUUUAUUUUCUGUCCUGGUGUCUUUGUUCUAAGGGUUAAGUUGUCCUGUGGUUGUGUAUUUAGGGAGGAUGGACUUUGUUAAUUGUUUUUUAAAUGUAAGUCAAUCUGGCCGUUAUAGGUCUGAUUGGCUUUUAAAAGUCUAUGAGUUGUAUUAUGGUUGGUUUUUGAUUGUCUUUUAAAAGUCUAUGAGUUGUAUUAUGGUUGGUUUUUCAUUAUUUUUUAAUAAAAUAUGUAUUUACUAAUAUUUGUUAAAAUCCAUUAAUAAAGAGCACCACAGCCUUUUGCCAAGUUAUAUUUAAUAAUGUCGUCUAUGUCUUAUUUGGGGUAUACUUAUAUUUAAAAUAUAUAUAUAUAUAUAUAUAUAUAUAUAUAUAUAUAUAUACCUUAUUUAGAAAAUACUGGCACUCCUUGCUUUAUAAUCAAUGUUGUUCUAUUAUUGUCAGAGACAUCAACGUUUCAGUUCCUCAAUGGAACUUUCAUCAGGACAUCAGAUGAAAACGGAGGUGCUAAUUUAUUCAUACCCACACGUCACUGUCCGUUGGGUAGAAAUAAAUUAUUUUAAGGUGGAGAGUAACAUUUUACUCUUCAAUCUUGGAGACCACUAUAUAUUUUAUAUAACCUUACUUAAAAAAUAACGGAGAGCAAAAAACAGAGCGCAAGAGAAACUUAUGGAGAGCAAAAAACAGGGCGCAAAAGAUACAUUACUUAAAAAAUACAUUACUCAAUUAUUUCUACUGUUUGCUGUUUUGUAGUGAGUAUUAUAGCUUUUUUGUCAUUCUUUGUUUAAUUGUCCUUAUUCUACAAAUUACACUUUUUUUUAUUAUUGUUUACAGAUAAAGUCUAUAAACUGGAAGAAUCAUGGGAAAAUUAUUUUCGGAAUAUUUCAGUCCUACGUGCACUGCGUGUUAUCUACUUGGUCCAGCAUUAUAGGUAGUCGGGAAGAAACCAGUAGAGGCAUUUAUGGUGCUGGAUUUAGAAUUUUCUCCUUCUUUCAACAUACUCAUUUCAUCCCUGCAAUGAAUUCUACUAUCUACUUUUCUUGUAUGUUGAAUUAGUUGUAAAGUGGUUUUAACAUUACAGAAAGGACUUCAAGCAUGUAAUGAACCCAUUCAGAGCAACAUGUAUUGCUGGCAAGUGUUGCACAUUUAACGGUUGUCACAUUUUGCCAUGCAUUCUAGUUCUGAAUUUUUGUUGUGCUGUUUUUUCAUGCGUGUAAAUAACAUUAAAUUUUGUUUGUGCUGAUAACAAUGCCC
This is a non-coding RNA of Pelobates cultripes (western spadefoot toad), 1919 nucleotides long. Lineage: Eukaryota; Metazoa; Chordata; Amphibia; Anura; Pelobatidae. The record is from the annotation of a GenBank genome assembly.